Molecule: unclassified non-coding RNA, 439 nt
Filed under: Athalia rosae (coleseed sawfly)
Lineage: Eukaryota; Metazoa; Arthropoda; Insecta; Hymenoptera; Athaliidae
Description: misc RNA ENSAEAG00005003931.1
Source: RNAcentral
AUAUGUGACGUUGAUUUGCAUCAGACACAGCCUGUUGUUGCAUUUGCUGUUGAUUUUGUUGUUGCUGUUGUUGUUGUUGUUGUUGUUGCUGUUGUUGUUGUUGUUGCUGUUGCUGCUGUUGUUGUUGUUGCUGUUGCUGUUGCUGUUGCUGUUGCUGUUGCUGUUGCUGUUGCUGUUGCUGUUGUUGCUGUUGUUGCUGUUGCUGUUGCUGUUGUUGCUGUUGUUGUUGUUGCUGUUGCUGUUGCUGUUGCUGUUGCUGUUGCUGUUGUUGUUGUUGCUGUUGUUGUUGUUGCUGUUGUUGAUGUUGUUGUUGUUGUUGUUGUUGUUGUUGUUGUUGCUGCUGCAAGCCACCAAUGCCUGCCUGAGGACUGCCAAGUCCGACCGAUGGGGUAUCCGGCGUGCUAACUUGGCGCGCGAUCUUCCGAUAACUCUGCAAUCA